AGGAAGGCAGCAGGCACGCAAAUUACCCACUCCUGGCACAGGGAGGUAGUGACGAAAAAUAACGAUGCGAGACUCAUCCGAGGCCUCGCAAUCGGAAUGAGUACACUUUAAAUCCUUUAACGAGGACCAAUUGGAGGGCAAGUCUGGUGCCAGCAGCCGCGGUAAUUCCAGCUCCAAUAGCAUAUACUAAAGUUGCUGCGGUUAAAAAGCUCGUAGUUGGAUUACAGUUCUGGACUGACGGUUCACCGCCAGGUGUUUACUGUCACGCUCCGAACGGCUCAAAAGGCCCCGCCGGCUCACACGGGGUGCUCUUCAUCGAGUGUCCCGAGUGGCCGGCAUGAUUACUUUGAAAAAAUUAGAGUGCUCAGAGCAGGCUACUUUUAUGGCCUGAAUGGUGGUGCAUGGAAUAAUGGAAUAGGACCUCGGUUCUAUUUUGUCGGUUUUCUCGGAACCCGAGGUAAUGACUAAUAGAAACAGGCGGGGGCAUUCGUAUUGCGACGCUAGAGGUGAAAUUCUUGGACCGUCGCAAGACGAACUACUGCGAAAGCAUUUGCCAAGGAUGUUUUCAUUAAUCAAGAACGAAAGUUAGAGGUUCGAAGGCGAUCAGAUACCGCCCUAGUUCUAACCAUAAACGAUGCUGACUAGCGAUCCGCCGGCGUUAUUCCCAUGACCCGGCGGGCAGCUUCCGGGAAACCAAAGUCUUUGAGUUCCGGGGGAAGUAUGGUUGCAAAGCUGAAACUUAAAGGAAUUGACGGAAGGGCACCACCAGGAGUGGAGCCUGCGGCUUAAUUUGACUCAACACGGGAAACCUCACCAGGCCCAGACACUGGAAGGAUUGACAGAUUGAGAGCUCUUUCUCGAUUCGGUGGGUGGUGGUGCAUGGCCGUUCUUAGUUGGUGGAGCGAUUUGUCUGGUUAAUUCCGAUAACGAACGAGACUCUAGCCUAUUAAAUAGUCGGCGGAUCUCCAACAAUUGGUGUCCAGUCCGCAACUUCUUCUUAGAGGGAUAAGCGGCAAUUCUAGCCGCACGAGAUUGAGCAAUAACAGGUCUGUGAUGCCCUUAGAUGUUCUGGGCCGCACGCGCGCUACACUGAAGGGAUCAGCGUGUUGUCCCUCUCCGAGAGGAGCGGGUAACCCGUUUAAACCCCUUCGUGAUAGGGAUUGGGGCUUGCAAUUGUCUCCCAUGAACGAGGAAUUCCCAGUAAGCGCAAGUCAUCAGCUUGCGUUGAUUACGUCCCUGCCCUUUGUACACACCGCCCGUCGCUACUACCGAUUGAAUGAUUUAGUGAGGGCUUCGGACUGGCGCUCUUGGAUGUUCGGCUCCCUCAUUCUUGGGUGUGAGUCGGCGCCUCGAGUCGACGGAAAGAUGUCCAAACUUGAUCAUUUAGAGGAAGUAAAAGUCGUAACAAGGUUUCC
This 1415-nucleotide ribosomal RNA is filed under the name Pomatocheles jeffreysii. Its description in RNAcentral is "SSU rRNA". It matches the Rfam family "Eukaryotic small subunit ribosomal RNA", at positions 419 to 1804 of the family's 1831-position model. Lineage: Eukaryota; Metazoa; Arthropoda; Malacostraca; Decapoda; Pomatochelidae. The record is from RNAcentral.